RNAcentral lists this ribosomal RNA (527 nucleotides) under Staphylococcus aureus. RNAcentral describes it as "bacterial SSU rRNA". It matches the Rfam family "Bacterial small subunit ribosomal RNA", at positions 267 to 786 of the family's 1533-position model. Lineage: Bacteria; Bacillati; Bacillota; Bacilli; Caryophanales; Staphylococcaceae. The record is from RNAcentral.
ACCAAGGCAACGAUGCAUAGCCGACCUGAGAGGGUGAUCGGCCACACUGGAACUGAGACACGGUCCAGACUCCUACGGGAGGCAGCAGUAGGGAAUCUUCCGCAAUGGGCGAAAGCCUGACGGAGCAACGCCGCGUGAGUGAUGAAGGUCUUCGGAUCGUAAAACUCUGUUAUUAGGGAAGAACAUAUGUGUAAGUAACUGUGCACAUCUUGACGGUACCUAAUCAGAAAGCCACGGCUAACUACGUGCCAGCAGCCGCGGUAAUACGUAGGUGGCAAGCGUUAUCCGGAAUUAUUGGGCGUAAAGCGCGCGUAGGCGGUUUUUUAAGUCUGAUGUGAAAGCCCACGGCUCAACCGUGGAGGGUCAUUGGAAACUGGAAAACUUGAGUGCAGAAGAGGAAAGUGGAAUUCCAUGUGUAGCGGUGAAAUGCGCAGAGAUAUGGAGGAACACCAGUGGCGAAGGCGACUUUCUGGUCUGUAACUGACGCUGAUGUGCGAAAGCGUGGGGAUCAAACAGGAUUAGAUACC